RNAcentral lists this ribosomal RNA (266 nucleotides) under uncultured bacterium. Its description in RNAcentral is "partial 16S ribosomal RNA". It matches the Rfam family "Bacterial small subunit ribosomal RNA", at positions 793 to 1055 of the family's 1533-position model. The record is from RNAcentral.
GUCCACGCCCUAAACGAUGUCAACUGGUUGUUGGGGAAGGCAACUUCCUUAGUAACGAAGCUAACGCGUGAAGUUGACCGCCUGGGGAGUACGGCCGCAAGGUUAAAACUCAAAGGAAUUGACGGGGACCCGCACAAGCGGUGGAUGAUGUGGAUUAAUUCGAUGCAACGCGAAGAACCUUACCUACCCUUGACAUGUACGGAAGCCCGCUGAGAGGUGGGUGUGCCCGAAAGGGAGCCGUAACACAGGUGCUGCAUGGCUGUCGU